GUGUACGUUUAGCCUGUGGUAGACGCACUGGAUUUAGGUUCCAGCGCCUCGCGGCGUGAGAGUUCGAGUCUCUCCUUUCGCACCA
RNAcentral lists this transfer RNA (85 nucleotides) under Methylophilus sp. RNAcentral describes it as "tRNA-Leu". The record is from RNAcentral. Lineage: Bacteria; Pseudomonadati; Pseudomonadota; Betaproteobacteria; Nitrosomonadales; Methylophilaceae.